Molecule: ribosomal RNA, 454 nt
Filed under: uncultured Acholeplasma sp.
Lineage: Bacteria; Bacillati; Mycoplasmatota; Mollicutes; Acholeplasmatales; Acholeplasmataceae
Description: bacterial SSU rRNA
Rfam family: Bacterial small subunit ribosomal RNA
Source: RNAcentral
CCUACGGGAGGCUGCAGUAGGGAAUUUUCGGCAAUGGGGGGAACCCUGACCGAGCAACGCCGCGUGAAUGAUGAAGUACUUCGGUAUGUAAAGUUCUUUUAUUGGUGAAGAACGACGCUUUGAUGCGUGUGACGGUAGCUAAUGAAUAAGCCCCGGCUAACUAUGUGCCAGCAGCCGCGGUAAUACAUAGGGGGCAAGCGUUAUCCGGAAUUAUUGGGCGUAAAGGGUGCGUAGGCGGUUAAAUAAGUUUAAGGUGUAAGUUCUGGGCUCAACCCAGUGAUGCUUUAGAAACUGUUUAGCUAGAGAGUGGUAGAGGCAAGUGGAAUUCCAUGUGUAGCGGUAAAAUGCGUAAAUAUAUGGAGGAACACCAGUGGCGAAGGCGGCUUGCUGGGCCAAAUCUGACGCUGAGGCACGAAAGCGUGGGGAGCAAACAGGAUUAGAUACCCGAGUAGUC